RNAcentral lists this non-coding RNA (26 nucleotides) under Cricetulus griseus (Chinese hamster). The record is from RNAcentral. Lineage: Eukaryota; Metazoa; Chordata; Mammalia; Rodentia; Cricetidae.
AGGAAAGAUCUGGAAAGGCAAAUGGC